AGUUACCAGCACGUUAUGGUGGCACUCUAAGGAGACUGCCGGUGCAAACCGGAGGAAGGUGGGGAUGACGUCAAGUCAUCAUGGCCCUUACGGCCUGGGCUACACACGUGCUACAAUGGUCGGUACAAAGGGUUGCCAAGCCGCGAGGUGGAGCUAAUCCCAUAAAACCGAUCGUAGUCCGGAUCGCAGUCUGCAACUCGACUGCGUGAAGUCGGAAUCGCUAGUAAUCGUGAAUCAGAAUGUCACGGUGAAUACGUUCCCGGGCCUU
This 268-nucleotide ribosomal RNA is filed under the name uncultured Pseudomonas sp. RNAcentral's name for it is "partial 16S ribosomal RNA". It matches the Rfam family "Bacterial small subunit ribosomal RNA", at positions 1113 to 1382 of the family's 1533-position model. Lineage: Bacteria; Pseudomonadati; Pseudomonadota; Gammaproteobacteria; Pseudomonadales; Pseudomonadaceae. The record is from RNAcentral.